RNAcentral lists this long non-coding RNA (968 nucleotides) under Marmota monax (woodchuck). Lineage: Eukaryota; Metazoa; Chordata; Mammalia; Rodentia; Sciuridae. The record is from RNAcentral.
AGCAAGGAGCUAGGCCCAAGAAUGUGUAGCCAGGUACCAGGACCCAGUCCUGGGUCGCAUGAAAACAGACAGGGCUGUGGAGGAGAGAAAGGGGAACAAGGAUAGUGGGAGGCACAGGGAGAUGAGGGCUCAAAGCCCAAGUUCACUGUUUGUUGUCAGGAUUGAGGAGCAGGGCUCAGCCUGAGAUAGUCCAAAUGGCCCAGGCAAUGGGCACAGCUAUGUUUUCCCAAAGGGAGCCCACAGGGCCAAAUGCUCAGUUUCAGUCCCCUGGACAUGGUGAGCAUCAUGCAAAAGUGAACUUGAAAAGGGGACCAGCAGGGACAGGAAGAACAAGAGGGAUGAAGAGGGUACAGGAUGAAAGGCCAGAGGAAGGGUGUUGAUAGGGUACGGGCCAGGACUCUUGAAAGGAGCCCACGCUAGGGACCAACAGGAGGGCACAGGCCAGGAAAGGGCAGUGAAGUUCAGGGCCAGGCAGAUGGGCAACAGUAGAGCUCUGUUUCAGGGAAGCCAAGGGGAGCAGGGUCCCAGCGAGGCCCACAGUCCAAGCCCAGGGAAGCACGGAGCAAGAAGGGCCCCCAGAACCUCAACCGAGGAGGCAGGCCAGGGAAUGAAGAGCCAAGGGCUAGGGCUUGGGCAGGAGGCUCAAGACAGUGGACAAGACUUUGGAGAGAUUGCAGAUUAUCUGGUAGGGGGAAGUCAUGUUUCUGGCCCAAGGCCACUGCCAGAUGUCAGCGUUCUGGGUGCAGGACCAAAGGCCCAGAGAGAUCAAGGGACCUAGGUGAUGGGCAGAACUCAGUUUCCCAUAAGGCGCCUGGCCCAAGAAUCCAGGGACAGGGACAUGGCAAAGGAGGCUUGGAAAAUGAAGGGGGCCAGGGUGAGGGCAAUGGGAGUGCACAGCGGGGGGUCUUGGUGGGUGCGUAUGGAGGCAAGAUCCAGGACCCAAGCCAGUUGCCCAGACAAAGGACCCA